This is a long non-coding RNA of Sardina pilchardus (European sardine), 513 nucleotides long. RefSeq lists it as uncharacterized. The record is from RefSeq and is a predicted model, not a curated record. NCBI's taxonomy places the organism in Eukaryota, Metazoa, Chordata, Actinopteri, Clupeiformes, Clupeidae. The transcript has 4 exons.
GCGGAGAGCUCCUGUCGAGUCCGGAGGGAAAGGGAAAGAGGAUGAAAACUACUAGCGCUUGUACUCAGACGGAGAGCUACCGCCGUAUCCUCAGUUGAGUCAAGCCACAAGUGGUAAGAAGAAGAACAAGAGAAAGAACACAGCACUAAAUGUGUUGACUGAGCUUCAAAAUCAAGGAUCAUCUCAGUUGAAUGAAGCUGACGAAACAUGGAAUGAGUGCUACCAGAGGUUUUGGAGAGGAUGAAGGAAUUUCUCUGUGCACCAAGAUUAUCAACAGCAAGGCCACACCUAGGCCAACCAACAGCAACAACAUCAAGGCCCACGCCAGGGCAAGAUCCACCAACAGCAACAACAUCAAGGCCCGCGCCAGGGCAAGAUCCACCAACAGCAUCAUCAAGGCCCGCGCCAGGGCAAGAUCCACCUACUAACUGACAUGAACAUUGAAGCAUUCAUACGGCAGAAAUGUAAUAAUGCUGGCAAACGUCAAAAUCAAUAAAUAAUCUGUUCAAUGAA